This is a long non-coding RNA of Scatophagus argus, 1797 nucleotides long. RefSeq lists it as uncharacterized. The transcript is spliced from 2 exons. NCBI's taxonomy places the organism in Eukaryota, Metazoa, Chordata, Actinopteri, Scatophagidae. The record is from RefSeq and is a predicted model, not a curated record.
CCAACUCCUGAAAAACAUCAUCAUCCAUAUCGAGGAGUGUCUGGAUACUUUUGUACUUGUCUAACAUUUAUCAGAAAUAUCCUCUGGUAGAACUUGCUCUGCUAAGUUAUCGUCAUUGUUAAAGGCCCAAUACUACGUAUACCACAAAGAUACUGCCAGCCAUUCCCUCUGUGAUGCUUAUCAAAGUGGCUAACAACCAUAUUUUUGUUGGUUAGGUACUAUCUGGCCUGUGCUGGGACCCUGAGAUUUCCAACCUUCGGAGGCCUCCAAACCCCACCAAACAUGGCCUCAUCCUGUCCUUGUCUUAAAGUCAUAUCAAAUAAAUCAACUGUGUGUGUGUUACAGUUAUUUAUUUGCACAGAACAAAAUAUUAUGAUUGGUUUGCUGGCUAAAUCUACAUCACCAUCAUCAUGAGGGUGAGUCAGUUGCCAUGUUUGUCUCAUGUUGGCUUAGCUAAGACAGAACAGAUGACAUUAGAGUUAGCUGAUAACAAGCAGAAACAUAAAAAAAUGAUGGAGCAGCAAAGUGGAAACCUGAAAAAAGAAAAAGAUAGUAAGGACAUUUUCAGCUUGCAGAUUUUGUGCCCUGGGGGUGCAGAGUUUGUGUAAUAUUCUCCUGGAUAAAUUGGUGUGCACACAACUUCUUAAAAAACUGCUUUUGUAAAAGUAGAAAUGUAUAACAUAACAUGUUUUAUAGCCCCUGAAAAGUCAAAGCAAGGCAAUUUAAAGUCGAUAUGCAAAACACAAGUAACCCAAAACAGUAAAAAGAUGUGAAGUCAAAAACUGUAAUCAGUUGGUUUUAGAUGAGGUAUCCGGGGCCAGUUCACCUGUUUAAAAAUAAUCUUGCAAUGAACCGACCCUGUCUCACAGGAUCUGACCUAAUUCCAUUCUCACCUCCACUGAAAGAAAGGAGUCAUGCAAUGCUUGCGGGUAACAACAUAUUUUUAUGCUUGCAUGUCUGUUGGUAUAACUAGUAUGUCAAGCAGUGUGAGAACACCUCUUCCUGCUGCAGCUCUGGCUUCCUGUUUCUGUGUUGCACCACAUAUUUACCCCCAAGUCCCAACCCUGAGGUCAGAACAGGCGUGUGGUUCCUCUCUGAGGUCCAUUAGGAAACACCCAAAGAAGAAGAGGAGGGGCAAAAAACAGGACGAAGGCAGCAGCUAGCGGUAGGUUUGUACAGUGCAAUCAGUUUCAAGUGUCAGUGGGAGUACUACUGUGUGAUCACCACUAAGGGGAGCUGCAAUCAAAGUGAUGCCUCAAGUUUGACCAGACAUACCAACUGCUCAGUUAAGACCUCACAAACAUGUAGCCCUUCUCCGUUUUAUUUUUCACGUGUUUAUAGGAAACAUUUGUUUAGGAUUAUUGUAAUUUCCGGUGUUUUCCAUCAUCACUUGUCUUGAAUUGUUGUGAGGCCAAUUUUCUACAAUUUAUACAAUAAAGUACAGAACCAAACCUAACCUACUGACGUGGUUUUUGAAAAGCAAAACCUUACUCAGAUUUGAAUGAAGCAGGGAUUAUGUUCGAAGAAUAUAACAAAAAACUCACAAUGUAUUAAAUAUCUAGUCUUCGAGGAAAUAAAUCUUCACUGCACCAUUAAUUUUCCUUAUCUGAAACGAUUUAUUACGCACAAUGCACGAGAGGUCCCACAACUUCUUACUGCAUCAAAUAUCAGACAUAAAUUCUCUGUAAGGUUCUUUUACAGAUAAACGACAACAUAAAAAGACAAAAAAGGUUGGCAGUCCUAGUAGUAGUAGUAUACACAUACUGCAUACCAUCUCACUGAAGGGAUGGCAUAAAG